RNAcentral lists this ribosomal RNA (253 nucleotides) under uncultured bacterium. RNAcentral describes it as "partial 16S ribosomal RNA". It matches the Rfam family "Bacterial small subunit ribosomal RNA", at positions 524 to 776 of the family's 1533-position model. The record is from RNAcentral.
UACGUCGGGUGCAGGCGUUAAUCGGAAUUACUGGGCGUAAAGCGUGCGCAGGCGGUUGUGCAAGACAGAUGUGAAAUCCCCGGGCUCAACCUGGGAAUUGCAUUUGUGACUGCACGGCUAGAGUGUGUCAGAGGGGGGUAGAAUUCCACGUGUAGCAGUGAAAUGCGUAGAGAUGUGGAGGAAUACCGAUGGCGAAGGCAGCCCCCUGGGAUAACACUGACGCUCAUGCACGAAAGCGUGGGGAGCAAACAGG